GACGAACGCUGGCGGCGUGCUUAACACAUGCAAGUCGAACGGUGAAGCGCCUUCCUUUUUGGUGGGUGUGGAUGAGUGGCGAACGGGUGAGUAACACGUGAGUAACCUGCCCCCUUCUUCUGGAUAACCGCAUGAAAGUGUGGCUAAUACGGGAUAUUCUGGGUCUGUCGCAUGAUGGGUCUGGGAAAGAUAUUGUUUCGGUGGGGGAUGGGCUCGCGGCCUAUCAGCUUGUUGGUGGGGUGAUGGCCUACCAAGGCGGUGACGGCUAGCCGGCCUGAGAGGGUGGACGGUCACACUGGGACUGAGACACGGCCCAGACUCCUACGGGAGGCAGCAGUGGGGAAUAUGGCACAAUGGGCGCAAGUCUGAUGCAGCGACGCCGCGUGAGGGAUGGAGGCCUUCGGGUUGUGAACCUCUUUCGCCAGUGAAGCAGGCCUGCCUCGUUUGUGGGUGGGUUGACGGUAGCUGGAUAAGAAGCGCCGGCUAACUACGUG
RNAcentral lists this ribosomal RNA (494 nucleotides) under uncultured bacterium. RNAcentral's name for it is "partial 16S ribosomal RNA". It matches the Rfam family "Bacterial small subunit ribosomal RNA", at positions 28 to 507 of the family's 1533-position model. The record is from RNAcentral.